Siniperca chuatsi (mandarin fish) is the source of this 786-nucleotide long non-coding RNA. RefSeq lists it as uncharacterized. The record is from RefSeq and is a predicted model, not a curated record. The transcript is spliced from 2 exons. NCBI's taxonomy places the organism in Eukaryota, Metazoa, Chordata, Actinopteri, Centrarchiformes, Sinipercidae.
AGAAUACAAACCAAAGGCCCUUGUAAAAAGCGUGAGUCAGAGCUUGUCCUUUCAGAUGGUGAGCCAUGCCGCAGCUUUAAAUAUACCAACUUCGCCCGGGGCCCAAGGACACCCAGGGCACAAUCACCCACUCCUCAGAGGUUCCUGAAACAUGAUUUUUCAGCCUUCUUUGUAAUAAGUGACCCUGAAGAAACCCACAAUAUCUUUGCUUUUUUCUUCUGCAUCAUCAGUGUCGUCAGCAUCAACAGCAUGAAUCUUAAUCAUCAACGCCACAAGUAUUGCUGUCAUCCACAUAACCAUAAUCAAUUUCAUAUCCUUCAUCACUGUCCUCCUCUGCCUCAUUAUCAGCGCCGCAAUCAUCAUCAUCAUCAUCUUACUCUAACUCCUCAUUGCUCCAUUUCCUCCCCGGCCCUCCGGCUGACCUGUUCCUCUCCCUGUCCCGAUUUCCUCCCUUCUGAUGAGUAACUUGGGCAGUCUACGUCUGACGGAAGGACACGCUGUUUGACUCACUAGUCAGUUCUGGCUGAGACAAAACCACAUCAGUGCGCAGCAGAGCAGCCAAGAAGAGCCAGUCACAUCCUGACAAGGAAGAUGAGCUGUUCUUUAGUGGACAAACAGCGGAAUGGAGGUUCCAGAGGUUCCAGGUCCCAAACAACCGUCAAAUAAAAAAUGAAUGGAAAGACGAUGGCAAAGGAUGGCAGAGAGAAAGGAGCGACUUUCACCCUAAAGAAGUGGGCAGUGUGAGAUCCAACCCAUUCUUAACAGAAUAAAAACGCACAGACAAAA